Molecule: ribosomal RNA, 325 nt
Filed under: uncultured bacterium
Lineage: Bacteria
Description: bacterial SSU rRNA
Rfam family: Bacterial small subunit ribosomal RNA
Source: RNAcentral
AAUCAACGCUGGCGGCGUGCCUAACACAUGCAAGUCGAGCGAGAAAGGGGCUUCGGCCCUGAGUAAAGCGGCGCACGGGUGAGUAACACGUGGGUAAUCUGCCCUAGAGUGGGGAAUAACAUCGGGAAACCGAUGCUAAUACCGCAUACGAUCACGAAGUCUUCGGAUUUUGUGAUGAAAGGAGAAAUCCGCUCUUGGAGGAGCCCGCGGCUGAUUAGCCUUAGNGGUAAGGUAACGGCUUACCAAGGCUACGAUCAGUAUCCGGUCUGAGAGGACGGUCGGACACACUGGAACUGAGACACGGCCCAGACUCCUACGGGAGGCA